This 237-nucleotide non-coding RNA is filed under the name Desulfovibrio sp. 86. RNAcentral also lists the same sequence under 1 other name. The record is from RNAcentral. Lineage: Bacteria; Pseudomonadati; Thermodesulfobacteriota; Desulfovibrionia; Desulfovibrionales; Desulfovibrionaceae.
UAUAUAUCAAUUUAUCUAGAUAUUGUGAUGAGAAACGGAAAACGGUGAAAAUCCGUUGCGGACGCGCCACUGUAAUCGGCACAAACCCGCGCCGUGCCACUGUUCACUGACCAGACCGUCAACAUGUUGGGAAUGCCGCAACAUCGAUCUGCUCCGGGGACGGGAAGGUACGGCCACGCGCAACCACAAACGCGCAGGGGCCGGAAGCCAGGAGACGCCUCAUCACCUGCCGCCAUC